Melospiza melodia melodia is the source of this 337-nucleotide long non-coding RNA. RefSeq lists it as uncharacterized. NCBI's taxonomy places the organism in Eukaryota, Metazoa, Chordata, Aves, Passeriformes, Passerellidae. The record is from RefSeq and is a predicted model, not a curated record. The transcript is spliced from 3 exons.
CUGGAGCCCCGCCGGGAGGGCGCAGCCGCCGGCCGUGUGCGCCUCGGGGCUGCGCGCCCCGCGUCUCGCCGCUCCCGCAGCUACGCUACAGCAGCUCUGAACUCGCAGGUCCGGCUUCUCUCAAACCAUACCGAGGUUUUCAUCUCGCUCUACAUAACCUAUGGGACGUAAAUGCUUUUAAUUUAGGAUAGUGUCAUUUUUGCUUAUUUCACCAUUGAGGGUGCAAAUCCUGAAGCUGCAGAAAAGCAUCCUCACUUCUGCACCAGGACUUCUCUCCAAGAACACCUCCUGUUUCACUCCACAUUGGUGUCAAAUAAACCAGUGUAUGUUGCAUGGA